Molecule: ribosomal RNA, 253 nt
Filed under: uncultured bacterium
Lineage: Bacteria
Description: partial 16S ribosomal RNA
Rfam family: Bacterial small subunit ribosomal RNA
Source: RNAcentral
UACGUAGGGGGCAAGCGUUGUCCGGAUUUAUUGGGCGUAAAGAGCGUGUAGGCGGUUUGGUAGGUCCGCUGUGAAAACUCGAGGCUCAACCUCGAGACGCCGGUGGAAACCAUCAGACUAGAGUCCGGAAGAGGAGAGUGGAAUUCCUGGUGUAGCGGUGAAAUGCGCAGAUAUCCGGAGGAACACCAGGGGCGAAAGCGGCCGACUGGUCGAGUACUGACGCUGAGGCGCGACGGCGUGGGGAGCAAACCGG